Molecule: ribosomal RNA, 253 nt
Filed under: uncultured bacterium
Lineage: Bacteria
Description: partial 16S ribosomal RNA
Rfam family: Bacterial small subunit ribosomal RNA
Source: RNAcentral
UACGUAGGUGGCAAGCGUUGUCCGGAUUUACUGGGCGUAAAGAGCGCGCAGGCGGUCGUUCAAGUCGCGUGUGAAAGCCCCCGGCUCAACUGGGGAGGGUCACGCGAUACUGAUCGACUCGAAGGCAGGAGAGGGAAGUGGAAUUCCCGGUGUAGUGGUGAAAUGCGUAGAUAUCGGGAGGAACACCAGUGGCGAAGGCGACUUCCUGGCCUGUUCUUGACGCUGAGGCGCGAAAGCGUGGGGAUCAAACAGG